Molecule: non-coding RNA, 68 nt
Organism: Ruditapes philippinarum (Manila clam)
Lineage: Eukaryota; Metazoa; Mollusca; Bivalvia; Venerida; Veneridae
Source: the annotation of a RefSeq genome assembly
AACAGGGCGGUGUAAUGGGCACGUAGACUUUUGGUUUCUAAAGAGAUUAUUCGCUUGAUCUUCUGUUG